This 1722-nucleotide unclassified non-coding RNA is filed under the name Leishmania donovani. RNAcentral's name for it is "gene:LdHU3.36.0760(CDS-product:cdc2-related_kinas e_3_putative)". Lineage: Eukaryota; Euglenozoa; Kinetoplastea; Trypanosomatida; Trypanosomatidae. The record is from RNAcentral.
AAGUGACAACGCUUCAUAGUGAAGGCGCGCAUUUGCUGAGUGUGAAGCUUUAUCGACUCACGACCUAGAACUUGUCGGAAAAGAGGUAGCCAAAAAAAAAAAAACAUACACCCACUCACACAAAUACCUUUUUCUUUCGCCCUUGAGUGCUUCUGCUGUUGCACUUUUCCGACCCUUUCUCCGCGCUACAACAUACACGCACACAGGUGCCGAAAGCACUAGUUUCCGGCGCCUGCUCUUUUGUUGUUUGAGGAAAGGCGACGAAGGAAUCCUCUCCUUUCUUUUGAAAGUUGCGGAGCCUUUGCUUUGAACAAACUCUGUCCCUGAAGCAUUACAAAUGUCUUCGUUUGGCCGUGCUACCGCCCGCAGCGGCGACGCUGGGACCCGUGACAGCCUUGACCGGUACAAUCGCUUGGAUGUUUUGGGAGAGGGAACGUACGGCGUUGUGUAUCGCGCGGUCGACAAAAUCACUGGGCAGUACGUUGCUCUCAAGAAAGUGCGACUUGAUCGCACUGAGGAGGGCAUUCCACAAACUGCGCUGCGCGAGGUGUCGAUUCUACAAGAGUUCGACCACCCUAACAUUGUGAACUUGCUUGAUGUCAUUUGCUCGGACGGGAAGCUCUACCUUGUCUUCGAGUAUGUGGAGGCGGACCUGAAAAAGGCGAUUGAAAAGCAAGAGGGUGGCUACUCUGGGAUGGAUCUGAAGCGGCUUAUUUAUCAGCUUUUAGACGGCCUUUACUUUUGCCACCGCCAUCGCAUCAUCCACCGUGAUCUGAAGCCAGCCAACAUCCUCCUGACAUCAGGGAACGUCCUUAAAUUGGCUGAUUUCGGCCUCGCCCGCGCGUUCCAAGUGCCCAUGCACACCUACACGCACGAGGUGGUUACGCUGUGGUACCGUGCCCCCGAGAUCCUCCUCGGUGAGAAGCACUACACUCCUGCCGUGGAUAUGUGGAGUGUCGGCUGCAUUUUCGCCGAGCUAGCGCGCCGAAAAGUUCUUUUCCGCGGCGAUAGCGAAAUUGGGCAGUUGUUUGAAAUUUUUCAAGUGCUGGGGACGCCGACGGACACCGAGGGGUCCUGGCCUGGUGUGUCGCGGCUGCCCGACUACCGCGACGUAUUUCCCAAGUGGACGGCAAAGCGACUGGGGCAGGUACUACCAGAACUUCAUCCGGACGCUAUUGAUCUUCUCUCCAAGAUGCUCAAGUACGAUCCGCGGGAGCGCAUAUCAGCCAAGGAGGCCCUCCAGCACCCGUGGUUCAGCGACCUUCGCUGGUAGAGUGAAAAGGGCAUGACUGAAUACAGUCUGCUGACGCGUCGGACUAUGGAGGAUUUGUUUCUCUGAGGGUGCUUUGCUGAGGAGGCUCCUACUUGCUUUUCUUGACUCUUACUUAGACUUGACGCUUUCAGUUUUUCCUGUUUUGACUCUCCACCCUUUAGAUCUUUCUCCUACACAUGCAUACAUACACUUUUUCUCUCGCUCUUCCACAACGACAUUACCACCGUGCCCCUGUCUUUUCCACUAUCUGGCCCUUUUUCAGUUGCGAAACAGAUUUGGUCGUGUCUUUUUUUUUCGUUCUAGCUCAGAUCUUCGGCCCUUAGUUGUACUAUGAACUUUCGCAAAAAGAUGCCUAAUAUGCAGCAACUCUACAUACAGAUCGGGUUUCUCCUAGAACAUGUGUCCUCUUUCGCUGCUUUAUGCCUUCGAGUAGAGACUUCAGCUCCUUU